Dipodomys ordii (Ord's kangaroo rat) is the source of this 70-nucleotide non-coding RNA. NCBI's taxonomy places the organism in Eukaryota, Metazoa, Chordata, Mammalia, Rodentia, Heteromyidae. The record is from Rfam.
GGGAAGGUAGCUCAGUGGUAGAGUGCAUGCCUUGCAAGCAUGAGGUCCUGGGUUCGAUUCCUCAGCACCA